CACAAGGUUAGAGUGGGUAAUGAACUGAGAAUAGCAUUGCUCUGUCAGUUUUCCUCAUUAGCAGUCUUAGGUAAUGACUUGAAGGUGUUGCACAGUCUUGCCAGUGGUUACAGCUGAUUGUGUGCUAAUUCAAAGUAUGUCACCUGCCUGUGCAUGCUGACUGGACGAGGAGAGGCCAAGAGAGGGACUGUAGUUGGCUGCUCUGUGCCCAGUCAUAUUUUCCUGCAGAGGACCUGAGCCCUAGGACCAUGCCCCAGGACUACCUGACAUGAUGACUCCUUGCUGUCCCCAGUCCACCUGGCCAUGCUGCUGCUCCAGUUUCAACUGGCCUGGGCCCUAGGACCAUGUCCCAGGACUACCUGACAUGAGGACUCCUUGCUGUCCCCAGUCCACCUGGCCAUGCUCCUGCUCCAGUUUCAACUGUUCUGCCUUACUAUUAUUCAACCAUGCUGGUCAUUUAUGAACAUUUGAACAUCUUGGCCACGUUCUGUUAUAAUCUCCACCCGGCACAGCCAAAAGAGGACUGGCCACCCCACAUAUGCUCUCUAAUUCUCUCUUUCUUUCUCUCUCUCGGAGGACCUGAGCCCUAGGACAGUGCCCCAGGACUACCUGACAUGAUGGCUCCUUGCUGUCCCCAUUCCACCUGACUGCUGCUGCUCCAGUUUCAACUGUUCUGCCUUAUUAUUAUUCGACCAUGCUGGUCAUUUAUGAACAUUUGAACAUCUUGGUCAUGUUCUGUUAUAAUCUCUACCCGGCACAGCCAGAAGAGGACUGGCCACCCCACAUAGCCCGGUUCCUCUCUAGGUUUCUUCCUAGGUUUUGGCCUUUCUAGGGAGUUUUUCCUAGCCACCGUGCUUUUACACCUGCAUUGUUUGCUGUUUGGGGUUUUAGGCUGGGUUUCUGUACAGCACUUUGAGAUAUCAGCUGAUGUACGAAGGGCUAUAUAAAUAAAUUUGAUUUGAUUUGAUUUGUACAUGUUAGGAUGGUCAGAGCUCUCGUAAAUAAACGUUGCUGACUAUUGUA
Oncorhynchus keta (chum salmon) is the source of this 1023-nucleotide long non-coding RNA. RefSeq lists it as uncharacterized. The record is from RefSeq and is a predicted model, not a curated record. The transcript has 3 exons. Lineage: Eukaryota; Metazoa; Chordata; Actinopteri; Salmoniformes; Salmonidae.